This 429-nucleotide ribosomal RNA is filed under the name Gemmatimonadota bacterium. RNAcentral's name for it is "Gemmatimonadetes bacterium partial 16S ribosomal RNA". It matches the Rfam family "Bacterial small subunit ribosomal RNA", at positions 355 to 776 of the family's 1533-position model. The record is from RNAcentral. Lineage: Bacteria; Pseudomonadati; Gemmatimonadota.
UAGGGAAUCUUCGGCAAUGGACGAAAGUCUGACCGAGCAACGCCGCGUGAGUGAAGAAGGUUUUCGGAUCGUAAAACUCUGUUGUUAGAGAAGAACAAGGACGUUAGUAACUGAACGUCCCCUGACGGUAUCUAACCAGAAAGCCACGGCUAACUACGUGCCAGCAGCCGCGGUAAUACGUAGGUGGCAAGCGUUGUCCGGAUUUAUUGGGCGUAAAGCGAGCGCAGGCGGUUUCUUAAGUCUGAUGUGAAAGCCCCCGGCUCAACCGGGGAGGGUCAUUGGAAACUGGGAGACUUGAGUGCAGAGGAGGAGAGUGGAAUUCCAUGUGUAGCGGUGAAAUGCGUAGAUAUAUGGAGGAACACCAGUGGCGAAGGCGGCUCUCUGGUCUGUAACUGACGCUGAGGCUCGAAAGCGUGGGGAGCAAAAAGG